AUACGGAGGGUGCAAGCGUUGUUCGGAUUUACUGGGCGUAAAGGGCGUGUAGGCGGAUAUGUAAGCUGGAGGUGAAAGCCCCGGGCUCAACCCGGGAACUGCUUUGUAGAACUGCAUAUCUAGAGAAAGUCAGAGGCAGGUGGAAUUCCUGGUGUAGAGGUGAAAUUCGUAGAGAUCAGGAGGAACAUCGGCGGCGAAGGCGGCCUGCUGGGGCUUUUCUGACGCUGAGGCGCGAAAGCGUGGGGAGCAAACAGGAUUAGAAACCCGGGUAGUCC
This 275-nucleotide ribosomal RNA is filed under the name uncultured bacterium. RNAcentral describes it as "partial 16S ribosomal RNA". It matches the Rfam family "Bacterial small subunit ribosomal RNA", at positions 523 to 796 of the family's 1533-position model. The record is from RNAcentral.